CUGCNGNAGGCUACUGCUAUCGGGGUUCGAUUAAGCCAUGCGAGUUAAAUGUUNUUCGUGAACAUAGCGAACUGCUCAGUAACACGUGGAUAACCUACCCUUAGGACCGGAAUAACCCCGGGAAACUGGGGAUAAUACCGGAUAAGCCAUAGACGCUGGAAUGCCCUAUGGUUCAAAGCUCCGGCGCCUAAGGAUGGAUCUGCGGUCUAUCAGGUUGUAGUGGGUGUAACGUACCUACUAGCCGACGACGGAUACGGGUUGUGAGAGCAAGAGCCCGGAGAUGGAUUCUGAGACACGAAUCCAGGCCCUACGGGGUGCAGCAGGCGCGAACACUUUACAAUGCGGGAAACCGCGAUAAGGGAACCCCGAGUGACAGCAUCAAAUGUUGGCUGUCCAGAUGGUUAAAAAUCAUUUGUUAGCAAGGGCCGGGCAAGACCGGUGCCAGCCGCCGCGGUAACACCGGCGGCCCGAGUGGUAGCCGUUUUUAUUGGGUCUAAAGGGUCCGUAGCCGGCCUGAUAAGUCCUUUGGGAAAUCUGACAGCUUAACUGUCAGGCUUCUAAGGGAUACUGUCAGGCUUGGGACCGGAAGAGGUAAGGGGUACUCCAGGGGUAGGAGUGAAAUCUUGUAAUCCCUGGGGGACCAUCUGUGGCGAAGGCGCCUUACCAGAACGGGUCCGACGGUGAGGGACGAAAGCUAGGGGAGCAAACCGGAUUAGAUACCCGGGUAGUCCUAGCUGUAAACGAUGCUCGCUAGGUGUCAGACAUGGUGCGACCGUGUUUGGUGCCGCAGGGAAGCCGUUAAGCGAGCCACCUGGGAAGUACGGUCGCAAGGCUGAAACUUAAAGGAAUUGGCGGG
RNAcentral lists this ribosomal RNA (856 nucleotides) under uncultured archaeon. Its description in RNAcentral is "bacterial SSU rRNA". It matches the Rfam family "Archaeal small subunit ribosomal RNA", at positions 14 to 872 of the family's 1478-position model. The record is from RNAcentral.